This 548-nucleotide ribosomal RNA is filed under the name uncultured bacterium. RNAcentral's name for it is "bacterial SSU rRNA". It matches the Rfam family "Bacterial small subunit ribosomal RNA", at positions 355 to 896 of the family's 1533-position model. The record is from RNAcentral.
UGGGGAAUUUUGGACAAUGGGCGCAAGCCUGAUCCAGCCAUGCCGCGUGCGGGAAGAAGGCCUUCGGGUUGUAAACCGCUUUUGUCAGGGAAGAAAUCUUCUGGGUUAAUACCUCGGGAGGAUGACGGUACCUGAAGAAUAAGCACCGGCUAACUACGUGCCAGCCGCCGCGGUAAUACGUAGGGUGCAAGCGUUAAUCGGAAUUACUGGGCGUAAAGCGUGCGCAGGCGGUUAUGCAAGACAGAUGUGAAAUCCCCGGGCUCAACCUGGGAACUGCAUUUGUGACUGCAUGGCUAGAGUGCGGCAGAGGGGGAUGGAAUUCCGCGUGUAGCAGUGAAAUGCGUAGAUAUGCGGAGGAACACCGAUGGCGAAGGCAAUCCCCUGGGCCUGCACUGACGCUCAUGCACGAAAGCGUGGGGAGCAAACAGGAUUAGAUACCCUGGUAGUCCACGCCCUAAACGAUGUCAACUGGUUGUUGGGAAGGUUCCUUCUCAGUAACGUAGCUAACGCGUGAAGUUGACCGCCUGGGGAGUACGGCCGCAAGGUUG